This is a long non-coding RNA of Bombina bombina (fire-bellied toad), 578 nucleotides long. RefSeq lists it as uncharacterized. NCBI's taxonomy places the organism in Eukaryota, Metazoa, Chordata, Amphibia, Anura, Bombinatoridae. The record is from RefSeq and is a predicted model, not a curated record. The transcript has 5 exons.
GGUGAAUAUCAAUUUCCUGCUGUGAUACAUCGAACUGCUCAAAACCAAGAAGCUGACGUUACACAAACAACCACCAAUGACCCCUCGAUGAAGGGAGAAAUAUGUUACACCUAUAUCAACCUAAGCAAUACUCAAAUAGCUACUGACGCUCGGAACAAGGGAAAUGAUGGCUAUUCUGUUGUAUAUGCUUUAGUGAACCAUGAAAGAGACACACCUGCAAACACCGGGGAAUAGUAUACUGACUCAUGUACCAACAUAUUUGCAAAUUUAAGCAAAACAAUAAGAGUUUCAGGUUCAUCACUCAUCUUAUGUACAUCAUCUUCUCAGCUUGUAACCAAGAUUUAGUACAGAAGAAUUAGAGGACUCCUAAUACGUCAGACAACGUUCCACACCUUUAAACAUGCUAGUAAUUGAUAUAGGUUGAUAUCAUAAAGAAAAUAAAAUGAGGUUCAUUGUCUGAGCUCUAAGAGGGGUCCCCUUUUGUUUGUGCAUAAUUUCUAUAUUCUUAAAUUUUCUACUAAGAAGCCCCAAGUGGCCUCAUUUUUUAUGUAUACGAUUUAAUGGAUGGGCAAUAAGGA